AAGUCGAGGGGUAACGACUCCGUCUUCGGAUGGAAGUCGACGACCGGCGCACGGGUGAGUAACGCGUAUGCAACCUACCUUUUACAGGAGGAUAGCCCAGAGAAAUUUGGAUUAAUACUCCAUAGUACUAAUGAAUCACCUGGUUUAUUAGUUAAAACUCCGGUGGUAAAAGAUGGGCAUGCGUGUCAUUAGCUAGUUGGUAAGGUAACGGCUUACCAAGGCGAAGAUGACUAGGGGUUCUGAGAGGAAGAUCCCCCACACUGGUACUGAGACACGGACCAGACUCCUACGGGAGGCAGCAGUGAGGAAUAUUGGUCAAUGGGUGAGAGCCUGAACCAGCCAUGCCGCGUGAAGGAAGACUGCCCUAUGGGUUGUAAACUUCUUUUCUGCAGGAAGAAAUCACUCUACGUGUAGGGUGUUGCCGGUACUGCAGGAAUAAGCAUCGGCUAACUCCGUGCCAGCAGCCGCGGUAAUACGGAGGAUGCAAGCGUUAUCCGGAUUUACUGGGUUUAAAGGGUGCGUAGGCGGGCUUGUAAGUCAGUGGUGAAAUGCUGUGGCUUAACCAUAGAAUUGCCAUUGAAACUGCAAGUCUUGAGUACAGUUGAGGUGGGCGGAAUGAGUAAUGUAGCGGUGAAAUGCAUAGAUAUUACUCAGAACUCCGAUUGCGUAGGCAGCUUGCUAAACUGUAACUGACGCUGAUGCACGAAAGCGUGGGGAGCGAACAGGAUUAGAUACCCUGGUAGUCCACGCUGUAAACGAUGAGCACUGGUUGUUGGCAAUACACCGUCAGCGACUGAGCGAAAGUAUUAAGUGCUCCACCUGGGGAGUACGUCGGCAACGAUGAACUCAAAGGAAUUGACGGGGGCCCGCACAAGCGGAGGACAUGUGGUUUAAUUGAUGAUACGGAGGAACCUACCUGGGCUUAAAGUAGAGUGCAUUGUUGGAACAGGCAUUUUUUCGGAACUCUUUACAAGGUGCUGCAUGGUUGUCGUCAGCUCGUGCCGUGAGGUGUCGGGUUAAGUCCCAUAACGAGCGCAACCCCUAUUGUUAGUUACCAGCACGUAAUGGUGGGGACUCUAGCAAGACUGCCGGUGUAAACCGUGAGGAAGGUGGGGAUGACGUCAAAUCAGCACGGCCCUUAUGUCCAGGGCUACACACGUGUUACAAUGGCAAGUACAAAGAGCAGCCACCUGGCGACAGGGCGCUAAUCUCAAAAGCUUGCCUCAGUUCGGAUCGAAGUCUGCAACUCGACUUCGUGAAGGUGGAUUCGCUAGUAAUCGCGCAUCAGCCAUGGCGCGGUGAUACGUUCCCGGGCCUUGUACACACCGCCCGUCAAGCCAUGGAAGCCGGGGGUACCUGAAGUCCGUAACC
RNAcentral lists this ribosomal RNA (1371 nucleotides) under uncultured organism. RNAcentral describes it as "bacterial SSU rRNA". It matches the Rfam family "Bacterial small subunit ribosomal RNA", at positions 59 to 1435 of the family's 1533-position model. The record is from RNAcentral.